AUGCGAGGAACAGGGCAGAGGCCGAUGGGCCCGCGUCCUCGCUCCCAGCCGGGGAGGGAAAAGGGAAAGGAGCAGGCGACAAAGUACCUGGCGGGAGGCCUGUCAGUCGGGGGUGCUUCCCGGCCGCCCGCCUCGCCUCGCCUCGCCUCGCCUCCCCUCCGUGGGCGGCACAAUCGCCUCCUUAUUCAGAUAUUCAUGACACACGGUGGCGAGAUAGAAAAUGACAGUGGGGAGGAGUCUAUUUUAGGAUGCUCAGGUAGAGCCUCAAGGGACACUGCAACCAAAAUCUGGAUCACUCAAAGAGACCAGCUGCCAGAGGACGUCGGUGCAAAAAUCUUCUGGGGAGAGAGAACAGCAUGUGCAAAGGCCCUGAGGCAGGAACAUGUUUCACAAUUUCAGGGAAUUGAGGAAAAGCUGAUGAGGAAGUGAUGGUAAUGAGCAAAGCGUAAAGGCAGGGACCAGAUUUAUUUUGAGAAUCAUCACAUAUAACAUUGUAGACUGUGUUAUAGUUUGCACUGGGUUUUGAACACACACUAUCUCAAUUCAAUCAUCCCGACAUUCCUAUUGACUUCCUCCGGGUCACAAAACUAGGAAGUGGCAGACAGGGCCUCUGACCAAGAACUCUGCACAACUCCAGAGAGCACACUAUCCACACAGCAGGGGGAGCCAUUUGUAUCAUUGCUUGGAGUUUGUGCAGUGCACAGCCUGAGCCACUGUCCAUAGCGGCCCUGUGCUAGCUCAAGUCUAUUUUCUCCAAAUUUCUAUGCUUUUUCUGUGCUAGGGACUGUUGGGAAUACAAAGAAUAAAGAUAUUAUUCUAGCCCUUGGUGAGCACAUGAUGCGGUUAAAAAGAAACAAUAUAUGAAGAGAUAUGCAUGAUAUAAGACAGUUUUUGUUUCUGACAAGGAUAUUAUGAAUAAUUAAGUAGGGGGUGCAAGAUUUGUAAUUGGCUUGAAGAUUUAGAUUGGUGGACAGAGAAAUCCAUAGGAGUCAUCACACACACACUCAAUAAAAACCAAGUAUGUUUAUAGACUACCAUAAAUGCUUGCCUCCAGCAACUUGAGAAUAAAAAAAAAAAAGAACAUUUAUUAUCCUAUCAUAUAAAGGACAGGACCAUAUAGGUAAAAUUUUGGUAAAUCUAAGGCAAGAAAAAGAAAUCAUCUAUAAACUCAUUAGUAGUGGGCAGCCCAGGUGGCUCAGCAGUUUAGCACUGCCUUCGGCCCAGGGUGUACUCCUGGAGUCCCGGGAUCGAGUCCCGUGUCAGGUUCCCCGCAGGAAGCCUGCUUUUCCUCUGCCUGUGUCUCUGACUCUCUCUCUCUCUGUCUCUCAUGAAUAAAUAAAUAAGAUCUUUUUUUAAAAAAAAGAAAAUGAAAACUCAGUGAAACACAACUGCUUUUUACAUUUUAGUGUAUUACCUUCUGGUUUUUCCUCCUCAAAAAGCAGUGUGUGUGUGUGUGUGUGUAUUUAUAUGACAUGUAUAUGAAUGUACAGAUAUGUCAUACAUGUCAUAUAGACACAUACCACAAACACAUAUUACCUUAUCGAGGUAUAAUUUACAUGCUUUAAAAUCCAUGUGUUUUAACUGUGAAGGUUAACGAGUUCUGGCAAAUACAAGCACCUGAGUAAUCACCACUAUGCUAAAGAUCUAGAACAUUUCUUUAUCCCACAACUUCCCUUACCCCAUUAGUCACUCCCUCACCC
Molecule: long non-coding RNA, 1700 nt
Filed under: Canis lupus familiaris (dog)
Lineage: Eukaryota; Metazoa; Chordata; Mammalia; Carnivora; Canidae
Description: lncRNA (ENSCAFG00030024896.1)
Source: RNAcentral